This 714-nucleotide ribosomal RNA is filed under the name uncultured bacterium. RNAcentral describes it as "bacterial SSU rRNA". It matches the Rfam family "Bacterial small subunit ribosomal RNA", at positions 111 to 823 of the family's 1533-position model. The record is from RNAcentral.
UAACACGUAUCCAACCUGCCGUCUACUCUUGGACAGCCUUCUGAAAGGAAGAUUAAUACAAGAUGGCAUCAUGAGUCCGCAUGUUCACAUGAUUAAAGGUAUUCCGGUAGACGAUGGGGAUGCGUUCCAUUAGAUAGUAGGCGGGGUAACGGCCCACCUAGUCUUCGAUGGAUAGGGGUUCUGAGAGGAAGGUCCCCCACAUUGGAACUGAGACACGGUCCAAACUCCUGCGGGAGGCAGCAGUGAGGAAUAUUGGUCAAUGGGCGAGAGCCUGAACCAGCCAAGUAGCGUGAAGGAUGACUGCCCUAUGGGUUGUAAACUUCUUUUAUAAAGGAAUAAAGUCGGGUAUGGAUACCCGUUUGCAUGUACUUUAUGAAUAAGGAUCGGCUAACUCCGUGCCAGCAGCCGCGGUAAUACGGAGGAUCCGAGCGUUAUCCGGAUUUAUUGGGUUUAAAGGGAGCGUAGAUGGAUGUUUAAGUCAGUUGUGAAAGUUUGCGGCUCAACCGUAAAAUUGCAGUUGAUACUGGAUAUCUUGAGUGCAGUUGAGGCAGGCGGAAUUCGUGGUGUAGCGGUGAAAUGCUUAGAUAUCACGAAGAACUCCGAUUGCGAAGGCAGCCUGCUAAGCUGCAACUGACAUUGAGGCUCGAAAGUGUGGGUAUCAAACAGGAUUAGAUACCCUGGUAGUCCACACGGUAAACGAUGAAUACUCGCUGU